RNAcentral lists this long non-coding RNA (265 nucleotides) under Carica papaya (papaya). RNAcentral describes it as "long non-coding RNA (CPAP_LNC004742)". Lineage: Eukaryota; Viridiplantae; Streptophyta; Magnoliopsida; Brassicales; Caricaceae. The record is from RNAcentral.
ACAUCCUAGUAGAUUAACUUUGAUUUUGAAAGCUAAAAAAGAAAAAAGAAAUGGAAAGGAAAACAUGGUGCAACAACGCUAUAUGAAGGUUCGAAGAAAGCUUACCUUUUUUGCUGUUAGGUCAAAGAAAGAACAAAGCCUCUUUGUAAAAUGGUCUUUGUCUUGGGCUAAUUUUUGUGCCCACAUACACGGGAAAAGGUCCUUAAACUACCAUGAUUAAAGGAAACAAGAGGCAAGGGGAUGGGUGGCAGCUUAGCUCGUAAAG